Molecule: ribosomal RNA, 1038 nt
Filed under: uncultured archaeon
Lineage: Archaea
Description: bacterial SSU rRNA
Rfam family: Archaeal small subunit ribosomal RNA
Source: RNAcentral
CCUACGGGGGGCAGCAGGCGCGAAACCUUCGCAAUGCGCAAAUGCGUGACGAGGGGAACUCGAGUGCUAUCAUCCUUUAGGGUGGUAGCUUUUCUCGAUCCUAAAAAGAUCGGGGAAUAAGGGCUGGGUAAGACGGGUGCCAGCCGCCGCGGUAAUACCCGCAGCUCAAGUGGUGGCCACUAUUAUUGAGCCUAAAACGUCCGUAGCCGGUUUUGUAAAUCUCUGGGUAAAUCCUGCCGCUUAACGGUAGGAAUUCUGGAGAGACUGCAAAACUAGGGAUCGGGUGAGGCGAGAGGUACUCCUGGGGUAGGGGUAAAAUCCUGUAAUCCUGGGGGGACGACCGGUGGCGAAAGCGUCUCAGCUAGAACGACUCCGACGGUGAGGGACGAAGGCUAGGGGAGCAAACCGGAUUAGAUACCCGGGUAGUCCUAGCUGUAAACGCUGCCCACUUGGUGUUGCCCUUUCGUCGGGAAGGGGCAGUGCCGGAGCGAAGGUGUUAAGUGGGCCGCUUGGGGAGUAUGGUCGCAAGGCUGAAACUUAAAGGAAUUGGCGGGAGAGCACCGCAACGGGAGGAGCGUGCGGUUUAAUUGGAUUCAACGCCGGAAAACUCACCAGGAGAGACCAUGGUAUGAGAGUCAACCUGAAGAGCUUACUCGAUCACAUGGAGAGGUGGUGCAUGGCCGUCGUCAGCUCGUACCGUAGAGCGUUCACUUAAGUGUGAUAACGAGCGAGACCCCCAUCCACAUUUGCCUACACUAUCCUCGCGAGAGGAUAUGCACUAUAUGGGGACCGCUAGCGUUAAACUGGAGGAAGGAGAGGUCAACGGCAGGUCAGUAUGCCCCGAAUCCCCUGGGCAACACGCGCGCUACAAAGGACGGAACAAUGGGUUGCAACUUCGAAAGGAGAAGCUAAUCUCGAAAUCCGUUCGUAGUUCAGACUGAGGGCUGUAAUUCGCCCUCACGAAGCUGGAUUCCGUAGUAAUCGCGAAUCAACAGUUCGCGGUGAAUAUGCCCCUGCUCUUUGCACACACCGCCCGUC